Molecule: ribosomal RNA, 253 nt
Filed under: uncultured bacterium
Lineage: Bacteria
Description: partial 16S ribosomal RNA
Rfam family: Bacterial small subunit ribosomal RNA
Source: RNAcentral
UACGUAGGGGGCAAGCGUUGUCCGGAAUUACUGGGCGUAAAGCGUGCGUAGACGGCUAUCUAAGUCGGGUGUGAAAGCCCCGGGCUCAACCUGGGAAUUGCAUUCGAGACUGAAUAGCUAGGGUACGGUAGAGGGAAGUGGAAUUUCCGGUGUAGCGGUGAAAUGCGUAGAUAUCGGAAGGAACACCAGUGGCGAAAGCGGCUUCCUGGUCCAGCACCGACGUUCAGGCACGAAAGCGUGGGGAGCAAACAGG